AGCGAACGCUAGCGGCGGGCCUAACACAUGCAAGUCGAGCGCAUACCUUCGGGUAUGAGCGGCGGACGGGUGAGUAACACGUAGGUAAUCUGCCCUGUGGUGGGGGAUAACCCGGGGAAACCCGGGCUAAUACCGCAUAUGGUCUACGGAUCAAAGCCUUCGGGCGCCAGAGGAUGAGCCUGCGUCGCAUUACCUAGUUGGCGGGGUAAAAGCCCACCAAGGGGACGAUGCGUAGCUGGUCUGAGAGGAUGAUCAGCCACACUGGGACUGAGACACGGCCCAGACUCCUACGGGAGGCAGCAGUGGGGAAUAUUGCGCAAUGGGCGAAAGCCUGACGCAGCUACGCCGCGUGGGUGAUGAAGGCCUUCGGGUUGUAAAGCCCUGUCGGGAGGGACGAAGUUCUGACGGUACCUCCCAAGAAAGCACCGGCUAACUCCGUGCCAGCCGCCGCCGUAAAAC
Molecule: ribosomal RNA, 459 nt
Filed under: uncultured bacterium
Lineage: Bacteria
Description: bacterial SSU rRNA
Rfam family: Bacterial small subunit ribosomal RNA
Source: RNAcentral